This 527-nucleotide ribosomal RNA is filed under the name uncultured bacterium. RNAcentral describes it as "bacterial SSU rRNA". It matches the Rfam family "Bacterial small subunit ribosomal RNA", at positions 404 to 923 of the family's 1533-position model. The record is from RNAcentral.
UGAAGGAAGGGCCUUCGGGUUGUAAAGCACUUUUGUCCGGAAAGAAAACGCUCUGGUUAAUACCCGGGGCGGAUGACGGUACCGGAAGAAUAAGCACCGGCUAACUACGUGCCAGCAGCCGCGGUAAUACGUAGGGUGCGAGCGUUAAUCGGAAUUACUGGGCGUAAAGCGUGCGCAGGCGGUUUUGUAAGACAGAUGUGAAAUCCCCGGGCUCAACUUGGGAAUUGCGCUUGUGACUGCAAGGCUAGAGUAUGUCAGAGGGGGGUAGAAUUCCACGUGUAGCAGUGAAAUGCGUAGAGAUGUGGAGGAAUACCGAUGGCGAAGGCAGCCCCCUGGGACGUCACUGACGCUCAUGCACGAAAGCGUGGGGAGCAAACAGGAUUAGAUACCCUGGUAGUCCACGCCCUAAACGAUGUCAACUAGUUGUUGGGGAUUCAUUGCUUUCAGUAACGUAGCUAACGCGUGAAGUUGACCGCCCUGGGGAGUACGGUCGCAAGAUAAACUCCAAAGAGAUUUGUUGCGGGGAG